GAGACACCCCAAUGGAGCAGGACUUGCUUCAGUGGGGCUUUGGUGCUCACUGAGUCUGCCCUUUGAGUGUGUAGCU
Molecule: non-coding RNA, 76 nt
Organism: Myotis brandtii (Brandt's bat)
Lineage: Eukaryota; Metazoa; Chordata; Mammalia; Chiroptera; Vespertilionidae
Source: Rfam